AUGCUGUGCAGAUGGGCCUGGGGACUGUGAAGGCCUCCUGCUUCUAGAUACCUGGGUAUGGGGUCUCAGUUUUAUCACCAUCGCGGCUGUGGGCACCUGGGGGACCUG
Long non-coding RNA from Myotis davidii, 108 nucleotides. RefSeq lists it as uncharacterized. NCBI's taxonomy places the organism in Eukaryota, Metazoa, Chordata, Mammalia, Chiroptera, Vespertilionidae. The record is from RefSeq and is a predicted model, not a curated record. The transcript is spliced from 3 exons.